RNAcentral lists this long non-coding RNA (295 nucleotides) under Populus trichocarpa (black cottonwood). RNAcentral describes it as "long non-coding RNA (PTRI_LNC002830)". The record is from RNAcentral. Lineage: Eukaryota; Viridiplantae; Streptophyta; Magnoliopsida; Malpighiales; Salicaceae.
AUAUUGCAAUGCUUUCGCAAUUUCAAUUGCAAUUAGAGUUUAAAGUAAAAAUGUCAAGGAGAUGACUUGAAGGAACUCGAGUUUUCUUACAUUUUACUUGGACAAUAAUAUCUCUUAAUUUCUUGAGAUGGAAAAUUGACAACAGUCUAUCUUCAGUAAUUUUAUUCAGAAAAGAACCGGAAAAAAAAAAAAAACUAUCUUUUUCAUAAGGUUAGAACAUGCUGGCACAACGGGACUGGAUAAGGGGGGCGCGGCGCCAACAGCAUUGUUGAUAGCCAUGCAUUGACCGGUGAUU